Molecule: ribosomal RNA, 506 nt
Filed under: Fusarium oxysporum
Lineage: Eukaryota; Fungi; Ascomycota; Sordariomycetes; Hypocreales; Nectriaceae
Also listed under: 1 other name
Description: eukaryotic LSU rRNA
Rfam family: 5.8S ribosomal RNA (bases 137-290)
Source: RNAcentral
AUCAUCACCCUGUGACAUACCUAUAACGUUGCCUCGGCGGGAACAGACGGCCCCGUAACACGGGCCGCCCCCGCCAGAGGACCCCCUAACUCUGUUUCUAUAAUGUUUCUUCUGAGUAAACAAGCAAAUAAAUUAAAACUUUCAACAACGGAUCUCUUGGCUCUGGCAUCGAUGAAGAACGCAGCGAAAUGCGAUAAGUAAUGUGAAUUGCAGAAUUCAGUGAAUCAUCGAAUCUUUGAACGCACAUUGCGCCCGCCAGUAUUCUGGCGGGCAUGCCUGUUCGAGCGUCAUUACAACCCUCAGGCCCCCGGGCCUGGCGUUGGGGAUCGGCGGAAGCCCCCUGCGGGCACAACGCCGUCCCCCAAAUACAGUGGCGGUCCCGCCGCAGCUUCCAUUGCGUAGUAGCUAACACCUCGCAACUGGAGAGCGGCGCGGCCACGCCGUAAAACACCCAACUUCUGAAUGUUGACCUCGAAUCAGGUAGGAAUACCCGCUGAACUUAAGCA